UGGGGAAUAUUGGACAAUGGGGGCAACCCUGAUCCAGCCAUGCCGCGUGUGUGAAGAAGGUCUUAGGAUUGUAAAGCACUUUAAGUUGGGAGGAAGGGUUGUAGAUUAAUACUCUGCAAUUUUGACGUUACCGACAGAAUAAGCACCGGCUAACUUCGUGCCAGCAGCCGCGGUAAUACGAAGGGUGCAAGCGUUAAUCGGAAUUACUGGGCGUAAAGCGCGCGUAGGUGGUUCGUUAAGUUAGGAGUGAAAGCCCCGGGCUCAACCUGGGAAUUGCUUCUAAAACUGGCGGACUAGAGUAUGGUAGAGGGUGGUGGAAUUUCCUGUGUAGCGGUGAAAUGCGUAGAUAUAGGAAGGAACAUCAGUGGCGAAGGCGACCACCUGGACUGAUACUGACACUGAGGUGCGAAAGCGUGGGGAGCAAACAGG
This 429-nucleotide ribosomal RNA is filed under the name uncultured prokaryote. RNAcentral describes it as "bacterial SSU rRNA". It matches the Rfam family "Bacterial small subunit ribosomal RNA", at positions 355 to 776 of the family's 1533-position model. The record is from RNAcentral. RNAcentral also lists the same sequence under 1 other name.